This 965-nucleotide long non-coding RNA is filed under the name Equus caballus (horse). RNAcentral describes it as "lncRNA (ENSECAG00000049507.1)". The record is from RNAcentral. Lineage: Eukaryota; Metazoa; Chordata; Mammalia; Perissodactyla; Equidae.
CAGAGUUGUUGGUUGCACCACGGUUUGUAAGACCAAGUGGUGGGAAAAUACCUAACUGGACAAGAGGUACAUUUAUCCAACGGAAAAGAGAAAGAGGAAACUAUGUAAUUCAGGUUGCAUUAUUUACUGUCAAAUGGAAACAUCUAGGGGCAAAACAGUUUAUAGCGGUAUGCUGCUGUUUGUGCGUCAAAGAGGGGUGCAUGCGCCCAUAUUUACUUGUACCUUCAUUAAAUAACUCCUCAGAUGUCCUCUCGCCUCCAGGUUUCAAAUUAAGGGCAGGGGGACGUCCCUUCCCGCCUCCCUGCCCUUCACACUCUUUGACCCAAAAUGACUCAUGUUUGUUACCCAGCCCAGGUUACCAGCUAACCUUUGAGGACACCAGCUGCUUCUCGUCAGGAAGCACCGGGAGCCACUCCCCUCUUCCCGACUCCAGACUCCAGACUGGGGGACCGGCUCUCCCUUCUUCCCACGUCUCCUGGACCAAGCGGCUCUGCAUCCACCCAGGAAGGAGAGCCUUGAGGUUUCUUGCAAGAACCUGAGGGGCGUCUCCGGAGUCCAAGAAUACCGGCGGGACCGACGGAGUCUGCUCAGCCCAGCCUAAGGAGGAAGUUCCACUUUCAUCUGUUCAGUUCUGGGCUCAAGAGGGAGCCGUUUGGAGGAAGAGUUCGGUGGCGAGAACUGGUGGAGUAGAUGGAGGCGGCCAGCACAGCCAGCCUGGAGAUGCCGAGGCCGCCCCCGAACCUCUGCCCACGCUGCCGUGCCCACCGGACGUCAUUCGCACUCCUCCAGGAAAGUGGUCCUCGAUCUUCUCCCAACAGCCCUCCCACCUCCAGCCCUGAGUCCAGUUCUUGAAUUCUGUGUGUGUGUGUGUGUGUGUGACAGCUCCACACUCAGGGCUACUGGCCAUCCUUCCAGACAACUCAGAUUUCCCUAAAUUGUGCACCUCAACCAAAUAAAACAGCCAG